ACCCCUUCUGCAGUUCAAACUAGCACCAGCCACAACCCUGGACUUCCUCCCAAUUUUAACGAAUGGUACGUCUGAGGACAAACACAAACCCUGUUUAACCAUAGAAUGGACCAAAUGCAUUUUAAAAAGAAAACUGAGACCAAUCAGAUGGAAAUGGAGUUGUAAGGCAAGAGGCCAUAUAUAGGGCUACAUCUGGUUAAUUGCAAUUGUCCAGGAAGGUUUUUGGGCAAGAUCCAAAAGUAGCCAUGCCCUUUUCUCAGGAUUAGAAAAUAUGUUUUGGCAUUUGAAGGAUUAAAAAAAGAUCUUCUCACUGCUUUUUCCUCCCCUUUCUCUUGCUCUCUGCUCACCCCAUCCCUAAAUGCCUUCAGUUCAUUUUAACUCUUGUCCUGUUUCUUGAGAGGAAGUUAUGGAAGUCUUAUUGGUGGUGAUGCUAAAACUGAUGGAAAAAUCUUCGCCUUAGUGGUGAUUGUUUAAACUCUCACAGUCUUAAACCGUGCCAAAGUCCUGUUAUGUCUUGAACUUUUCCUCAAAGCAUUACACUUGUGAAUGUAUUUUUGUCUAAUGGGGUUAAAACUGUUGUUCAGUAUUUUUUCAGGCUGAGGAUGUGAUGUUACUCUACACAAAUUGUGACGUUUAGUAUACAAUUGCCUUUUGUAAUAACUUUCUUUUUUGUAAAUACAUAUCCAUUGAUGCCAUAUUUAUCGUUUGUAAUUUAAUUAUUGCUACAAAUGCCGGGAACUGAACAAUAUUUAUGGAUAAAUGUUUUCUAACAAAUUCUGUACAGCUUUUGAUUAUAACCGCUUUAGCAUUAAAAUUUAUUGUUUUGAAAGAAGAACACAAUUUACAGUUUUUGAACCACUGACUCCUUUCUCUUGUUUUGUAACAGCCUCCUUCUUCAAAGAGGAGACGUGAGCAAAUGAAAUCUUGUUUGUUGGUAUUUAUAACUCACUCAGAUCCCUUUUUUAAUUGUUAAAUUAUUUUUCUAUUGCAGUAUAGAUUCUUUACAGUGUCAGUUUCCAUCUGGGAAGACCCUCCUUUCUUUAGCUCAGAUGGUUGUUUAACUGCGAGUUUAAAUGUGUUUGUCCUGGAUUUUCUGCAUGCAAAUCAAAUAUUACUGAUCAAUUCAGUUAGUGGCCAUGACAUCUCAAUCUUGUACUUCAAAGACUGAGAAGCUGGAUUUAAUCAUCCCUGCCCUACAUAUAUAAACCUAAGGUAACCUAAUGAGUUUUAUGUCCCUUAGUUUUUUAUUAUCUUACAUAAAAAUGAACAUUGCGACAGGAUGCAUGUCUGUCUGUUCUAUCAAGAGAUCACCCAUAUACCUAUAUAUGUUUGUAUCUAUGACUUAUCUAAUCUGCCUAUCAAAUCUAUCUAGCUAUCUAUAUAUUUUCAAAAGUAAGCAUAUGUCUGAAACAGUGAUGACGAGUAAGGCCAGUCGAGGCAUGCUUACUUAUGAUUAAAGUGCUUCUUAAAAGAACCAUAGACCAUUUACAAUUUUGGAAGGCACAGGUUGGUUUGUUUUGCUGUAUAUAGUUCAAUUCGUAAUUAUCACAAUUAUUCAUAACAUUUUUAUAGCGGUGUAAUAACUGCAGCUGUUCUGAAAUAUUAUGGAAAGAAAAAACAUUUGCAAAAUAUGUAUUUUUAAAAGUUCAUGGUUUGUAGGCAAAGAUGUUAAGAGCAUUGUUUCCAUUAAAAUCAAUAACAAUGAAAAAUGGUUGUUUGCUUUGUGAUAAAAUAUUAACAAUCCGUUUAAUCUUAAGUGAAGCAACUCAUUUGGACAGACCGUUUUUUUACAGUUGUUAUAUGAAAAAGAAACAUUACUAUUUGGGGGGGUGGAGUGGGUAGAGUAUUGAGGGUUUUUUUUUUUUUUACUAAUUUAGGGUGCUGUUUAAUAUUGAGAGCCCAAUCUGCAUGAAUAACCAACUUGCAAAUCAGCAAAUAGAAUGGUGGAGAUAAGGAAUUGUAAAGAAUUUAGCAAUGUAAUGAAUAGGCUUAAGUAUCUCCUUCUCUUGAAGGGGCAGUACUCUAGGAUUUGUGGUGGCAGUCAGUUUGGUAUUAUUCAUAAUCAUUUUGAAUUCUAGAAUUUUGUUUAUUGUUCUUUUUGAAGAAAUAAAGUCUUGGCACAACUAUUUAUAACAUUUUUGUAUUUGGUGCCUGAUUUUUUUCCCAUGUUCAAAUAAAUCAACCUUAAAUUGAAAUGCUCAGAGAAGUUCUGAUGAUUAAAAGAAACUUUGAUUCCUUGGAUACAGUUGAAACAGUCUGUUUUAAGUUAUCUACUGAUCUUUGUCAACAGACAAUUAGUUAUUGACAGUUUCUAAUUGCAAAUUGCUUUGGAUGUGAUUUCUUGUUUGUG
Long non-coding RNA from Bos taurus (domestic cattle), 2350 nucleotides. The record is from Ensembl. Lineage: Eukaryota; Metazoa; Chordata; Mammalia; Artiodactyla; Bovidae.